Molecule: transfer RNA, 69 nt
Filed under: Urocitellus parryii (Arctic ground squirrel)
Lineage: Eukaryota; Metazoa; Chordata; Mammalia; Rodentia; Sciuridae
Also listed under: 1 other name
Description: Spermophilus parryii (Arctic ground squirrel) tRNA
Rfam family: tRNA
About the family: Transfer RNA (tRNA) molecules are approximately 80 nucleotides in length. Their secondary structure includes four short double-helical elements and three loops (D, anti-codon, and T loops).
Source: Rfam by way of RNAcentral
GAGGGUAUAGCUUCAUGGUAGAGCACUUGACUAACAUAUAAGGCACCUGGGUUUGAUCCCCAGUACUUA